AUACGGAGGGUGCGAGCGUUAAUCGGAAUUACUGGGCGUAAAGCGCGCGUAGGCGGUUUGGUCAGUCGGAUGUGAAAGCCCUAGGCUCAACCUGGGAAUGGCAUUCGAUACUGCCUGACUAGAGUAUGGUAGAGGGAAGUGGAAUUUCCGGUGUAGCGGUGAAAUGCGUAGAUAUCGGAAGGAACACCAGUGGCGAAGGCGACUUCCUGGGCCAAUACUGACGCUGAGGUGCGAAAGCGUGGGGAGCAAACAGGAUUAGAAACCCCUGUAGUCC
Molecule: ribosomal RNA, 274 nt
Filed under: uncultured bacterium
Lineage: Bacteria
Description: partial 16S ribosomal RNA
Rfam family: Bacterial small subunit ribosomal RNA
Source: RNAcentral